GUCUCAACUGCCUAGUGGUUAGAGCAUCUGCCUCUGAUGGGGAAGGUCCUGGGUUUGAUCCCUGGUUGAGUCA
Non-coding RNA from Potamilus streckersoni, 73 nucleotides. The record is from the annotation of a GenBank genome assembly. NCBI's taxonomy places the organism in Eukaryota, Metazoa, Mollusca, Bivalvia, Unionida, Unionidae.